RNAcentral lists this ribosomal RNA (455 nucleotides) under uncultured bacterium. RNAcentral's name for it is "bacterial SSU rRNA". It matches the Rfam family "Bacterial small subunit ribosomal RNA", at positions 28 to 487 of the family's 1533-position model. The record is from RNAcentral.
GACGAACGCUGGCGGCAUGCCUAAUACAUGCAAGUCGAACGCGACCAGCCGGUGCUUGCACUGGCGAAGUCGAGUGGCGAACGGGUGAGUAACGCGUGAGAAACCUACCCCUGGAGUUGGGGAAUAACUCGAAGAAAUUCGAGCUAAUACCGCAUACCUUCUUACCGUCGAAAUGGUGGUUUGAAGAAAAGAUUUAUCGCUCUGGGAGGGUCUCGCGGCCUAUCAGCUAGUUGGUGAGGUAACGGCUCACCAAGGCAUCGACGGGUUAGCUGGUCUGAGAGGACGAUCAGCCACACUGGAACUGAGACACGGUCCAGACUCCUACGGGAGGCAGCAGUUAGGGAAUCUUGCGCAAUGGGCGAAAGCCUGACGCAGCAAUGCCGCGUGCGGGACGAAGGCCCUAGGGUCGUAAACCGCUUUUCAGUUAGGGACGAAAAUGACGGUACCUGCAGAAG